UAACUCUUGUAAGCUAUAUAAGCUAUUAAGUUCAUACCUUAAAUAAGGAUUUGUCCCGUGAGUUUUUGUUUUCCUUCAAAACAUCUCUAGAGUAUAAGACCAUGGAUAAAUAUCCAGAUCUGGAAUUUUUCUACAACGGCAUAAUAUACAUCGCGAGGCUAAAUGCGUGCCAGCAACCGCGGAUAUACGCACUACGCAUGACGAAAUAAAUAUUAUUGAUUGAUCGAACAGCAGGUAAUAUUAAUAAAGAAGAAAGGCUGGUGAUGUGAAGGAGGCUAGAUAGCUCCGUAAUACAGUUAAACCGAAUUGAGCAGUUAAAAACUUAGAAAACCUGGCAGAAGCAUAAUAAAAAGGCUCAUUGAAGUAUAGAUAACCCGCUAUGUUGCUAAAGUAUUAAAAUAGUGUAUUGCUGAUACGGCACUCCUACAGGAGGGCCGACUCCUCAAGCCUUAAUGCUUUUGCUUAGUGUAUGUUUGAGAGACAAGGAUUUUGCAGUAAUAUUAAAUUAAUGAAUAAUUCAAGCUUUGUACAUAUUGCCCGUCACCUCUUCUAUCUCAGAAGAGAAAGUCGACACAUAGUAGGUGUAGUGGAAAUUGCACCUGAUCGGAAUAGAUAUGUCCACCAAGAAAAGAACAAAAACAUCCGACCGCGCACGUAACCCCAUACCCAAUGAACAUAUACCUA
This 684-nucleotide ribosomal RNA is filed under the name Parasagitta elegans. RNAcentral's name for it is "12S ribosomal RNA". Lineage: Eukaryota; Metazoa; Chaetognatha; Sagittoidea; Aphragmophora; Sagittidae. The record is from RNAcentral.